AGUGAACGCUGGCGGUAGGCCUAACACAUGCAAGUCGAACGGCAGCACAGUAAGAGCUUGCUCUUACGGGUAGCGAGUGGCGGACGGGUGAGGAAUACAUCGGAAUCUACUUUUUCGUGGGGGAUAACGUAGGGAAACUUACGCUAAUACCGCAUACGACCUACGGGUGAAGGCAGGGGAUCUUCGGACCUUGCGCGAUUGAAUGAGCCGAUGUCGGAUUAGCUAGUUGGCGGGGUAAAGGCCCACCAAGGCGACGAUCCGUAGCUGGUCUGAGAGGAUGAUCAGCCACACUGGAACUGAGACACGGUCCAGACUCCUACGGGAGGCAGCAGUGGGGAAUAUUGGACAAUGGGCGCAAGCCUGAUCCAGCCAUACCGCGUGGGUGAAGAAGGCCUUCGGGUUGUAAAGCCCUUUUGUUGGGAAAGAAAAGCAGCAGGUUAAUACCCCGCUGUUCUGACGGUACCCAAAGAAUAAGCACCGGCUAACUUCGUG
Molecule: ribosomal RNA, 492 nt
Filed under: uncultured bacterium
Lineage: Bacteria
Description: partial 16S ribosomal RNA
Rfam family: Bacterial small subunit ribosomal RNA
Source: RNAcentral